GCUGAUGUGGCUCAGUCGGUAGAGCAGUUCACUCGUAAUGAACAGGUCGUGAGUCCGAUUCUCACCAUCAGCUCCA
This 76-nucleotide transfer RNA is filed under the name Clostridiales bacterium. RNAcentral describes it as "tRNA-Thr". It matches the Rfam family "tRNA". Rfam says of the family: Transfer RNA (tRNA) molecules are approximately 80 nucleotides in length. Their secondary structure includes four short double-helical elements and three loops (D, anti-codon, and T loops). The record is from RNAcentral. Lineage: Bacteria; Bacillati; Bacillota; Clostridia; Eubacteriales.